This 738-nucleotide unclassified non-coding RNA is filed under the name Hevea brasiliensis (rubber tree). Lineage: Eukaryota; Viridiplantae; Streptophyta; Magnoliopsida; Malpighiales; Euphorbiaceae. The record is from RNAcentral.
UGAUUUUCAUUUGAUAUUAGACAUUGUUCAGAUCCUUGCUCGUCUAUAUUUUCAAGGGAAGCUUCCUAUUACAAUGUCAUAUGUUCAGGCUUCUGUUUUGCUAUGCAUUGGUUUGCAGCAUCAGAACAUUACAUGCAUGGAGGAACAAAUGAAGUUGGAAAGGACGCAGAUUCUGUCCCUUUUCAUAAAGGUUAUGAAGAAGUUCCAUAAAUAUCUUAAUGGUAUUGCAUCCAAUGAGAUUGAAUCAACCUUACCCCGAUUAAAAGAGAGAGUGCUGGAACCUCACAACAUCUCUGUGGAGGAUGAUCUCAAUGAAGCAGCAAAACAAGUUGAGGAUGGGAUGAAAACCAAAAUGGAGGAUAUGCUGAAUCCUGAGCUUCUCCAACAGUAUGCCAUCGUCGACAGAGAAGGUGAUUUUGAGAAUGCAUUGAAAAAUGGUGGAAAGAUAACCUUAGGUGGCCUUAUUAGUGUGAAAUCCAGUAGAACUAGAGUGGAAAAACAUGGAAAGCAUGAUGGUCACAAGAGUGGGAAAAAGCGGAACGGGGAUGACGGCUCCAAAUCAAAUAAAAAGAGCAAAUCUUAAUAACCAAUCAUAAUGAUAUUAUGAGAAUAUUAGUCAUGCUUGAAAGCCUCGUGAAAGGUGAGUAGGGUGGAUGCCUGCUGCAUUUAGUGAUGUUAACCAUUCAUGACGCGAAAAUUUACUUUAGGUGGUUCAGAAUUUUGGAACUAAAGACCGAG